CUAUUAGGUUGGUGCAAAAGUAAUUGCGGUUAUUGCCAUUUAAAGUGAUGGCAAAACCACGAUUACUUUUG
Molecule: microRNA precursor, 71 nt
Organism: Nomascus leucogenys (northern white-cheeked gibbon)
Lineage: Eukaryota; Metazoa; Chordata; Mammalia; Primates; Hylobatidae
Source: Ensembl